RNAcentral lists this non-coding RNA (23 nucleotides) under Cricetulus griseus (Chinese hamster). The record is from RNAcentral. Lineage: Eukaryota; Metazoa; Chordata; Mammalia; Rodentia; Cricetidae.
ACAAAGGAACAAAGAAGGAACUC